This 800-nucleotide ribosomal RNA is filed under the name Halomonas citrativorans. Its description in RNAcentral is "bacterial SSU rRNA". It matches the Rfam family "Bacterial small subunit ribosomal RNA", at positions 77 to 877 of the family's 1533-position model. Lineage: Bacteria; Pseudomonadati; Pseudomonadota; Gammaproteobacteria; Oceanospirillales; Halomonadaceae. The record is from RNAcentral.
AGCUUGCUUCCCGCUGACGAGCGGCGGACGGGUGAGUAAUGCAUAGGAAUCUGCCCGAUAGUGGGGGAUAACCUGGGGAAACUCAGGCUAAUACCGCAUACGUCCUACGGGAGAAAGGGGGCUUCGGCUCCCGCUAUUGGAUGAGCCUAUGUCGGAUUAGCUGGUUGGUGAGGUAAUGGCUCACCAAGGCAACGAUCCGUAGCUGGUUUGAGAGGAUGAUCAGCCACAUCGGGACUGAGACACGGCCCGAACUCCUACGGGAGGCAGCAGUGGGGAAUAUUGGACAAUGGGCGCAAGCCUGAUCCAGCCAUGCCGCGUGUGUGAAGAAGGCCUUCGGGUUGUAAAGCACUUUCAGCGAGGAAGAACGCCUGUCGGUUAAUACCCGGCAGGAAAGACAUCACUCGCAGAAGAAGCACCGGCUAACUCCGUGCCAGCAGCCGCGGUAAUACGGAGGGUGCAAGCGUUAAUCGGAAUUACUGGGCGUAAAGCGCGCGUAGGUGGCUUGAUAAGCCGGUUGUGAAAGCCCCGGGCUCAACCUGGGAACGGCAUCCGGAACUGUCAGGCUAGAGUGCAGGAGAGGAAGGUAGAAUUCCCGGUGUAGCGGUGAAAUGCGUAGAGAUCGGGAGGAAUACCAGUGGCGAAGGCGGCCUUCUGGACUGACACUGACACUGAGGUGCGAAAGCGUGGGUAGCAAACAGGAUUAGAUACCCUGGUAGUCCACGCCGUAAACGAUGUCGACCAGCCGUUGGGUGCCUAGCGCACUUUGUGGCGAAGUUAACGCGAUAAGUCGACCGCCUGGG